GCUCGGGCCGCCAUUUUGCCUUUUCUGUCCACUUCGACGUGCCUCGUCUGGGCUGCCUUCUGCGCCUCACCGUACCUCGAGUUCCUGCUGGUCUUAAUUACGCGCUAACAGUGGCAGCGCUUUUCGAAGUUGCACGCUGCGCACGUUCCCGCCUUCGGCCGACUCUGGAAGCACUGGCUUCAUGCCCCGGGCCUGCAAGACGUGAGGCACGCCUCGAGAGACUUGUAGCCCGACCCGCCCGCUGUCUCGGCAAUUCCUGGCCCCGCUUUCGAGCUCCCGGAGUGUAAGUGACCGCCAGCCGGCAUACCUACGUUACUAUACGCCGACGACACUCCGGUCGAGCCGGCGCAGCGUAUGUAAGCCGCAAGUCGUUCCUGCCGAGUACUCGUUCUUUUGUUUGUGCGCGCGCGUUUCCACCCCCCGACGGCGCCGGGACUAUGGAACUGUGGAUGAACUCUGAGCGUGGCCACUAACCCCAGGACCUGCACGGCAACCCCUCGUCACGGCGAGCGUCGUCUCUACGAGCUUCGCAUCGAGCGUCCUAAACGCUCAAAAGGCCUGUGUGUGCACUUCGUGCAUUUUUUUCUAGAUGGUCUAGCUGGCGAGGGUGGCGCAUGCCUUAGAGAAGUUAACUGUUUGUUCAGUUGCACUAGCUAGCGCUCACUAGGGUUGUAUAGCUACACUACAAAAUUGCGUAAUGUUAGUGUUGCUUAGCUGUAAGCCCGAGGUUUCGUGGGCAUGGCUUGCGGCCACACGGGUCUUCUCCGUGCCGGAAUCGAAGAGGACGGGCCACGUGUUGCGGGGUGGCGGCGUAUAGCUUCAGGUUUUAGCUGACACACAGGGUUAGCUUACACUGUGCAGGCUACAGCUGAUAGCCGUCCUCUUACGAUUGCGUCAGGGACAUGGACCCAUCCGAACGGCCUUGCGACCCGACCCCACUAUUUCGUGACGUAGAUAGCCCGCGCGCGUCAGUGCGCGUGCUAUUGAGCGAAAUGUGGAAUGACGGAAGCAAACGGCAUUCGGACAUUACCUCGCCAGCUAUUAGGCACUAACCCGCUCUACGCAGCACCUCGACGCCGGACGUCGCCUGCUGUUUUCGUCGGAGCUGGGCCGGGCAGCAGCUACAAGCAUCACUCGUACCGCGCGCGGCCUACCGUGUUCACUCGUCGGUGUGGCCUUGUGGCCCUGCACCGGGAUCCCGAGGUCCGCUUUCGAGAUUGCGGACCACGAGUAUGAAGGAUAUCCAGUGUGCUGCUCCACGUUUGCCAUCCUCCCAACGUCCCCCACCGGAGAUGGCCUUGAGCACCUCUUACCGUGGCUGACCGCGUUGGCUCCUUUGCAUUUCCACGUCCAUGGCGUCCUUCUGCUACGGGGGACUUCGUUUGCUACUGCUGCCCACGUGUAAGGUGGAUAUCCAGCGCGCUGCUCCACGUUUGCCAUCCUCCCAACGUCCCCAUUAGGAUAUGGCCUAGAGCACCGCUCCUACCGUGACCGACCGUUCCCCUUCGCCGGUGCGGUCUCGCUGGCAGACGAGAUUGCUCAUCGCCCUUCUUUGC
Molecule: long non-coding RNA, 1556 nt
Filed under: Dermacentor andersoni
Lineage: Eukaryota; Metazoa; Arthropoda; Arachnida; Ixodida; Ixodidae
Description: uncharacterized LOC126521751
Source: RNAcentral